UGCCGGGCCCUGAGCAAGUGGCUUCAUGAACCCCGUGACGUUGGCCAUGGAGAUAAGACCACUGGGUGAUGGUUUAAGGAAGAUAACGUGUAAAGGGCUAAGGACUGUCGGUGGAAAUCAGGGGUGCAGGAGAAAUGGAUAAACAGCCAGAGGUCAACUCGGACUUUGUACAUAGGACAUGGUGCCAGGGCCCUGCCAGGAAGUGCAGAUCGAAGCUAG
RNAcentral lists this long non-coding RNA (219 nucleotides) under Homo sapiens (human). Its description in RNAcentral is "HSALNT0156984". The record is from RNAcentral. Lineage: Eukaryota; Metazoa; Chordata; Mammalia; Primates; Hominidae.